AUGGAUCGAGGUUGGAUGAGUAAACCAAGAUCAACUACUUAUUAUAAAGAAGGUGUCGAGCAAUUUCUAUCUUUUUCCUUCCAUGAUGUUCCACUCGGUGAUAAAAUUAUCUGUCCCUGUGUAAAUUGUGGAAAUAAGGCAAUGCAGAAUUGCGACGAAGUGAAAACCCACCUAAGAUGUGAUGGUAUUCUUCAGGGUUAUACAAAAUGGGUUUGCCAUGGAGAAGAGUAUGAUUCACCGUCAUUUGCAUUUGCUCCCAUGUCAAAUAACAACAACAAUUUUCAUAUUCCGGGUUUUCCAGUGAAUUCUGAUGUAGAAGGCAGUAAGAGAUUGCAUGACAUUUCUGGGCUCUUAAGUGCCAUUUUCCCCAUGGCUGACUGCUUCCAAUCACUAUCAAACGCAUCUGAUGGGGAACUAGAUGGUGUUCAGUCUGAAUCUGAGAACUUGGAACCUGGUAUGGCUGAGAAUGUCAAUACAACAUCUGCACAUGAUGAUGCAAUGAGAGAACAAGACAUAUACGCUAGUUUCCUCGAGGAACCAAACAUAGAUUUAUACCCUGGAUGUGCAACAUAUUCGAGGUUGUCAUUUCUUGUCACUUUAUAUCACAUGAAAGUCUUGCAUGGAUGGUCACAGGAAUCAUUCACACAGCUACUUGGUGUAUUAUCGGUUGCAUUUCCUCAGAUAAACCUACCCAAGAAAUAUUAUGAGGUGAAAAAAAUCAUACGCGGAUUAGGGCUGGACUAUGAGAAAAUUCAUGCAUGCCCAAGAGACUGCAUGCUUUUUAGAGGCGAAAGAGCUAACCAGGAGUCUUGCCAUGUGUGUGGUGCCUCUCAUUGGGUUACCAAUGAAAAUGAGAAGAAAGAUUCGGCAAAUGAAUCUAAAAAGAAGAAGAAGAAGAAGAAACCAGCCAAGGUGUUGCGAUAUUUCCCAUUGAUUCCAAGGCUCCAAAGGUUAUUUGCAACCAAGAAGACAUCAACUGACAUGCGUUGGCAUGAUGAGGGUCGUACAAAAGAUGGAUUGCUGCGAUGUCCAGCUGAUGGAGAGGGUUGGAAAGAUCUUGAUGGCAGAUAUCCUAAAUUCGCCAAGGAUUCCCGUAAUACGCGGCUAGGCGUUGGGUCUGAUGGGUUUAAUCCUUUCCGACUCAUGAGUGCAAAACAUAGUACUUGGCCAGUGAUGCUUAUUCCAUACAACCUACCACCUUGGAUCUGCAUGAAGCAAACAUCUCUAAUUUUAUCAAUGAUUAUUCCU
Molecule: ribosomal RNA, 1248 nt
Filed under: Triticum aestivum (bread wheat)
Lineage: Eukaryota; Viridiplantae; Streptophyta; Magnoliopsida; Poales; Poaceae
Description: partial small subunit ribosomal RNA
Source: RNAcentral